Molecule: RNA transcript, 1413 nt
Organism: Tribolium castaneum (red flour beetle)
Lineage: Eukaryota; Metazoa; Arthropoda; Insecta; Coleoptera; Tenebrionidae
Exons: 5
Source: RefSeq, a predicted model, not a curated record
UUGCAAGAGUUUAUCAACGUCUGGUUUUCCCGUGUCCAAGGUCCCACCUUAUCACUGUAAGAGGCAUCGAUUCACUUAGUUGUAAUUAUCAGAAUGAAGACACUAGCUGUUAGUUUGCUAACAAUUUUUAUUUUUUCUGUCGCACAUGGCGAGCCAGAUUAUUAUUGGCGCGACUAUCACGGAAAAAUCCCUGCCGAUGCCAUUGUGGGUGGGAGAGACUCCAGAGGGUACCCCACCUACAUAGGCCAGGCUUUCGUCCGUUGUCACGGCAUUUUAAUUGGGCAAAUAUAUCCAGGCCAAAAAACUAUAACGACCUCCAAGGAAGGAAUACACGUUACUGAUGUUUACAACAGAAUACUGUGUAGUGGUCACAAAGAGAACUUCUCCUGGGUGCCCGGAAACGCAGCAACGUUGCAUUUAACCACAAUUAAUAAGCACUUAGUGUCAGGUGGAACUGAAUGGGGAAAGGUCCUUAACAUAGGUCGUGUCAAAUAUCAAGGCGAAUUAAUUGUGGGGAAAGUCUGUUCCGGAACGAUAGGAAAAGCCAAACUUUAUUUUCCAUACAAGGGUGAAGAAAUUGAAAGCGACACAUACGAAGUGCUUGCUUAUGAGGACAAGCCAAAUGAAGUUGAAUCGGUUUAAUCACUGGAGCCACAAAUCAACUUUUUUUUAUUUCCACAUUAAAAAAUCGUAACUGAAUUACUGAACAUCUGCAGUAACGUGCGUCAAUAAUAAAGAAAUCAAAAACUAAAUAAUAAUAAUAUUAAUAACAUUUGGCUUUUAGAAGCCAAAAGGUUAUAUUCUUAUCACAAAAUACGUAUUUUUUCCCAUACUUUUGUAUAAAGACGCCUCGAAUAAAAUAAAUGUAAACAAACCAAAAUGAAUCAAAUGUUAUUCUUAUGUCUGACAGCUCCGCUUUUACACCUUGUAACAUGAGAGCCCGAUUAUUAUUGGAGGGAUUAUGACGGGAAAAUUCCUGUGGACGCUGUAGAGGGUGGAAGAGACGUAACAGACCAUCCUACAUACAUUGGUCAAGCUUUCGUCAUAAACCAUGGCAUUAUACCUGGGCGAAUUUAUCCCGGGCAAAAAAAUAUCACGACUUCAAAACAAGGAAUCCACGUGACUAGCCUUUACAACAAGAUAUUGUGCAGUAAUCACAAAGAAAACUUCUCGUGGCUUUUCGUUAGAAAACUACCAACAAGCAUUUGGUUAAAGGUGGGACGAGUGGGGCGAUAUUUUGAAUAUUGGACGAGUUGAGUACCGAGGAGAAUUAAUUGUGGGGUUCCCGGAAAAGCAAAAUUGUAUUUUCCGUUUCAAGGCGAGGAAAUUGCCAUCAAUAGUUAUGAAGUACUUGUUUAUAAUGAUGAGCCAAAGUUUGUUAAAACAUCUUAAAUAAAAACAUAUUUUCUUAAA